RNAcentral lists this long non-coding RNA (516 nucleotides) under Nicotiana benthamiana. RNAcentral describes it as "long non-coding RNA (NBEN_LNC014186)". Lineage: Eukaryota; Viridiplantae; Streptophyta; Magnoliopsida; Solanales; Solanaceae. The record is from RNAcentral.
CCAUUUCAUUGGCAACUGAAAUAGAUCUAAACGGAUUGCGCGGUACCCCGGACCGAAGAAAUUGAAAAAUGAAUUGAAAAGAAUAUCAAUAUAAGGCCCAGAUGUAACCUGUGCGGAGCAAGCCUACACUGGCCUGCAACUGCUUUCUCAUUGGCUCCAUUAGGGUUCGUAGUCUCAUCCUGAAAAGGUUUUUUUCUUUCUCCGGAUAUACUCUCAACUUUCCCUGCUAUCCUAUCAACAGGUCAGUCAAUAUCAGUAGUGGAGGAAGAAGAGUAGUACCCUUUUUUCAGCUAGUCUUAAUAGUUUAAUAAUUCAACUAGUGGUCUUCUUGCCUAAAAAAAGGAGUCAGCCCAACAUGGGCAAUGAUAGACAGACCAAAGAUUUACGCAGUCGUUGUGUGCUUGCUUUGUGCACCGGCACAGCAGAAUUCGAAGCUGCUCGGCGUACUAGCCCUAUAACGGAGUCAGACCCAACCACACUCUCUUAGUAUAAAGCGGAGCAGGACCGUUGGCCUGA